AGUGAACGCUGGCGGCAGGCCUAACACAUGCAAGUCGAACGGCAACACAGUAAGAGCUUGCUCUUACGGGUGGCGAGUGGCGGACGGGGGAGGUAUACAUCGGAAUCUACUUUUUCGUGGGGGAUAACGUAGGGAAACUUACGCUAAUACCGCAUACGACCUACGGGUGAAAGCAGGGGAUCUUCGGACCUUGCGCGAUUGAAUGAGCCGAUGUCGGAUUAGCUAGUUGGCGGGGUAAAGGCCCACCGAGGCGACGAUCGGUAGCUGGUCUGAGAGGAGGAAGCGCCACACUGGAAGUGAGAGGCGGUCCAGAGUCCUAGGGGAGGCAGCGGUGGGGAAGAGUGGACGAUGGGGGCAAGACUGAUCCAGCCGUACCGCGUGGGUGAAGAAGGCCUGCGGGUUGGAAGGCCGUUUUGUGGGGGAAGAAAGGCAGCAGGUUAAUACACCGCUGUUCUGACGGUACCCGAAGAAGAAGCACCGGCUAACUUCGUG
This 492-nucleotide ribosomal RNA is filed under the name uncultured bacterium. RNAcentral describes it as "partial 16S ribosomal RNA". It matches the Rfam family "Bacterial small subunit ribosomal RNA", at positions 30 to 507 of the family's 1533-position model. The record is from RNAcentral.